Molecule: ribosomal RNA, 206 nt
Filed under: uncultured bacterium
Lineage: Bacteria
Description: partial 16S ribosomal RNA
Rfam family: Bacterial small subunit ribosomal RNA
Source: RNAcentral
CUCGUAGGCGGAUUAAUAAGUUUGAAGUGAAAUCCUAUAGCUUAACUAUAGAACUGCUUUGAAAACUGUUAAUCUAGAAUGUGGGAGAGGUAGAUGGAAUUUCUGGUGUAGGGUAAAAUCCGUAGAGAUCAGAAGGAAUACCGAUUGCGAAGGCGAUCUACUGGAACAUUAUUGACGCUGAGAUGCGAAAGCGUGGGGAGCAAACA